UACAGAGGGUGCGAGCGUUAAUCGGAAUUACUGGGCGUAAAGCGUGCGCAGGCGGUGAUGUAAGACAGUUGUGAAAUCCCCGGGCUCAACCUGGGAACUGCAUCUGUGACUGCAUCGCUGGAGUGCGGCAGAGGGGGAUGGAAUUCCACGUGUAGCGGUGAAAUGCGUAGAGAUGUGGAGGAACACCGAUGGCGAAGGCAGCCUCCUGGGCCAAUACUGACGCUCAUGCACGAAAGCGUGGGGAGCAAACAGG
RNAcentral lists this ribosomal RNA (253 nucleotides) under uncultured bacterium. RNAcentral describes it as "partial 16S ribosomal RNA". It matches the Rfam family "Bacterial small subunit ribosomal RNA", at positions 524 to 776 of the family's 1533-position model. The record is from RNAcentral.